Molecule: ribosomal RNA, 253 nt
Filed under: uncultured bacterium
Lineage: Bacteria
Description: partial 16S ribosomal RNA
Rfam family: Bacterial small subunit ribosomal RNA
Source: RNAcentral
UACAGAGGGGGCAAGCGUUGUUUGGAAUUACUGGGCGUAAAGGGCGCGUAGGCGGCCUGCUAAGUCGAACGUGAAAUCCCCGGGCUUAACCCGGGAACUGCGUCCGAUACUGGUGGGCUUGAAUCCGGGAGAGGGAUGUGGAAUUCCAGGUGUAGCGGUGAAAUGCGUAGAUAUCUGGAGGAACACCGGUGGCGAAGGCGGCAUCCUGGACCGGUAUUGACGCUGAGGCGCGAAAGCUAGGGGAGCAAACGGG